GAACAGUUUUAAGCGCCAUGCACCUUCUGGCACGGAACCUGACUUAUCGAACAGAUAACGAAGAGCAGAAGGUUAACGAGGUGGAAAGUGAUCGAAGAUUCGGCGGAUGCUUUCCCGUGGCUUUGGACACGUGAUGUACAGAAAAAAACUGUGAGUAAUCGCAGAACAAAGGCUGUACAGCCAAAGAUA
RNAcentral lists this non-coding RNA (189 nucleotides) under Anaerostipes sp. Its description in RNAcentral is "GlcN6P sequence". It matches the Rfam family "glmS glucosamine-6-phosphate activated ribozyme aptamer". Rfam says of the family: This entry contains a glucosamine-6-phosphate activated ribozyme that is found in the mRNA for GlmS. The record is from RNAcentral. Lineage: Bacteria; Bacillati; Bacillota; Clostridia; Lachnospirales; Lachnospiraceae.